RNAcentral lists this long non-coding RNA (1356 nucleotides) under Salmo trutta (river trout). Its description in RNAcentral is "lncRNA (ENSSTUG00000035317.1)". Lineage: Eukaryota; Metazoa; Chordata; Actinopteri; Salmoniformes; Salmonidae. The record is from RNAcentral.
CCUCCUCACACUACACUUCCAGGCCCUGUCCUCCUCACACUACACUUCCAGGUCCUGUCCUCCUCACACUACACUUCCAGGUCCUGUCCUCCUCACACUACACUUCCAGGUCCUGUCCUCCUCACACUACACUUCCAGGUCCUGUCCUCCUCACACUACACUUCCAGGUCGGUUCCUCCUCACACUACACUUCCAGGCCCUGUCCUCCUCACACUACACUUCCAGGCCCUGUCCUCCUCACACUACACUUCCAGGCCCUGUCCUCCUCACACUACACUUCCAGGCCCUGUCCUCCUCACACUACACUUCCAGGCCCUGUCCUCCUCACACUACACUUCCAGGUCCUGUCCUCCUCACACUACACUUCCAGGUCCUGUCCACCUUACACUACACUUCCAGGUCCUGUCCUCCUCACACUACACUUCCAGGUCGGUUCCUCCUCACACUACACUUCCAGGUCGUGUCCUCCUCACACUACACUUCCAGGCCCUGUCCUCCUCACACUACACUUCCAGGUCCUGUCCUCCUCACACUACACUUCCAGGCCCUGUCCUCCUCACACUACACUUCCAGGCCCUGUCCUCCUCACACUACACUUCCAGGUCCUGUCCUCCUCACACUACACUUCCAGGUCCUGUCCUCCUCACACUACACUUCCAGGCCCUGUCCUCCUCACACUACACUUCCAGGUCGGUUCCUCCUCACACUACACUUCCAGGUCCUGUCCUCCUCACACUACACUUCCAGGCCCUGUCCUCCUCACACUACACUUCCAGGCCCUGUCCUCCUCACACUACACUUCCAGGCCCUGUCCUCCUCACACUACACUUCCAGGUCCUGUCCACCUUACACUACACUUCCAGGUCCUGUCUUCCUCACACUCACACUUCCCGAGUGGCGCAGCGGUCUAAGGCACUGCAUCGCAGUACAAAAGGCGUCACUACAGUCCCAGGUUCGAAUCCAGGCUGUAUCACAUUUGGCCGUGAUUGGGAGUCCCAUAGGGCGGCGCACAAUUGGCCCAGCAUCGUCUGGGUUUGGCCAGGGUAGGCCGUCAUUGUAAAUAAGAAUUUGUUCUUAACUGACUUGCCUAGUUAAAUAAAAAAUAAAAUGUCCUCUUCACACUACACUUCCUGGUCCUGUCCUCCUCACACUUCCAGGUCCUGUCCUCCUGACUGAACACACUACACUUCCUGGUCCUGUCCUCCUCACACUUCCAGGUCCUGUCCUCGUGACUGAAUGUAAUCAGAUUUGACUCUAGACCUUUUCUUUCCUCCUCAACUUGUCAAACAUCGUUCCCAGAGUAUUCUAGAGGAUUUCUGUCCAAUCAUUGUCUGUCUGUUAGACACGCUAGCAAAU